Molecule: ribosomal RNA, 505 nt
Filed under: uncultured bacterium
Lineage: Bacteria
Description: partial 16S ribosomal RNA
Rfam family: Bacterial small subunit ribosomal RNA
Source: RNAcentral
GACGAACGCUGGCGGCGUGCCUAAUACAUGCAAGUAGAACGCACAGUUUAUACCGUAGCUUGCUACACCAUAGACUGUGAGUUGCGAACGGGUGAGUCACGCGUAGGUAACCUGCCUGGUAGCGGGGGAUAACUAUUGGAAACGAUAGCUAAUACCGCAUAAUAUUAAUUAUUGCAUGAUAAUUAAUUGAAAGGUGCAAUUGCACCACUACCAGAUGGACCUGCGUUGUAUUAGCUAGUAGGUGAGGUAACGGCUCACCUAGGCGGCGAUACAUAGCCGACCUGGGAGGGUGAUCGGCCACACCGGGACUGAGACACGGCCCAGACUCCUACGGGAGGCAGCAGUAGGGAAUCUUCGGCAAUGGAGGAAAGUCUGACCGAGCAACGCCGCGUGAGUGAAGAAGGUUUUCGGAUCGUAAAGCUCUGUUGUAAGAGCAGAACGGGUGUGAGGGUGGAAAGUUCACACUGUGACGGUAUCUUACCAGAAAGGGACGGCUAACUACGUG